AACGAACGCUGGCGGCGCGCCUAACACAUGCAAGUCGAACGAGAAGGCGUAGCAAUACGCUUGUAGAGUGGCGAACGGGUGAGUAAUACGUGGGUGACCUACCCUCGAGUGGGGAAUAACCCGCCGAAAGGCGGGCUAAUGCCGCGUACGCUUCCGUCCUCACGGGGACGGAAGGAAAGCUGUACCGUGGGUACGGCGCUCAAGGAUGGGCUCACGUCCUAUCAGCUUGUUGGUAGGGUAACGGCCUACCAAGGCUACGACGGGUAGCUGGUCUGAGAGGACGAUCAGCCACACUGGCACUGCGACACGGGCCAGACUCUACGGGAGCAGCAGUGAGGAAUAUGCGCAAUGGGCAAAGCCUGACGCAGCGACGCCGCGUGGGGAUGAAGGUCUU
Molecule: ribosomal RNA, 394 nt
Filed under: uncultured bacterium
Lineage: Bacteria
Description: bacterial SSU rRNA
Rfam family: Bacterial small subunit ribosomal RNA
Source: RNAcentral